GCGAACGCUGGCGGCAGGCCUAAAACAUGCAAGUUGAACGAACUCUUCGGAGUUAGUGGCGGUCGGGUGAGUACCACGUGGGAACGUGCAUUUUGGUUCGGAAUAACUCAGGGAAACUUGUGCUAAUCCCGAAUGUGUCCUUCGGGGGAAAGAUUUAUUGCAAUUGGAGGGGCCCGCGUCUGAUUAGCUGGUUGGUGAGGUAAAGGCACACCACGGCGCCGAACAGUAGCUGGUCUGAGAGAAUGACCAGCCAAACUGGGACUGGGAAACAGCCCAGACUCCUACGGGAGGGAGCAAUGGGGAAUCUUGCACAAUGGGCGAAAGCCUGACGGAGCCAUGCCGCGUGAAUGAUGAAGGUCCGAGGAUAGUAAAAUUCUUGCACCGGUGACGAUAAUGACGGUACCCGGAGAAGAAGCCCCGGCUAACUACGUG
This 432-nucleotide ribosomal RNA is filed under the name uncultured bacterium. RNAcentral's name for it is "partial 16S ribosomal RNA". It matches the Rfam family "Bacterial small subunit ribosomal RNA", at positions 29 to 507 of the family's 1533-position model. The record is from RNAcentral.